RNAcentral lists this ribosomal RNA (305 nucleotides) under uncultured bacterium. RNAcentral's name for it is "bacterial SSU rRNA". It matches the Rfam family "Bacterial small subunit ribosomal RNA", at positions 335 to 659 of the family's 1533-position model. The record is from RNAcentral.
GUCCUACGGAGGCAGCAGUGGGGAAUAUUGCACAAUGGGGGGAACCCUGAUGCAGCGACGCCGCGUGGGUGAAGAAGUCAUUCGUGACGUAAAGCCCUAUCAGCAGGGAAGAAAAUGACGGUACCUGACUAAGAAGCCCCGGCUAACUACGUGCCAGCAGCCGCGGUAAUACGUAGGGUGCGAGCGUUAAUCGGAAUUACUGGGCGUAAAGCGCACGUAGGCUGUAUGACAAGUCAAGGGUGAAAUGCCACGGCUCAACCGUGGAACUGCCUUUGAAACUGUCAAACUGGAGUAUGUGAGAGGGG